RNAcentral lists this ribosomal RNA (500 nucleotides) under uncultured Glomeromycotina. RNAcentral's name for it is "partial small subunit ribosomal RNA". It matches the Rfam family "Eukaryotic small subunit ribosomal RNA", at positions 591 to 1092 of the family's 1831-position model. The record is from RNAcentral. Lineage: Eukaryota; Fungi; Glomeromycota.
CCAAUAGCGUAUAUUAAAGUUGUUGCAGUUAAAAAGCUCGUAGUUGAAUUUCGGGGUCAGUAGAUUGGUCGUGCCACUGGUACGUACUGGUCUUACUGAUUCCUCCCUCCUGAUGAACUGUAAUGCCAUUAAUUUGGUGUUGCAGGGAAUCUGGACUGUUACUUUGAAAAAAUUAGAGUGUUUAAAGCAGGCUAACGCUUGAAUACAUUAGCAUGGAAUAAUGAAAUAGGACGCUCGAUCCUAUUUUGUUGGUUUCUAGGAUUGACGUAAUGAUUAAUAGGGAUAGUUGGGGGCAUUAGUAUUCAAUUGUCAGAGGUGAAAUUCUUGGAUUUAUUGAAGACUAACUACUGCGAAAGCAUUUGCCAAGGAUGUUUUCAUUAAUCAAGAACGAAAGUUAGGGGAUCGAAGACGAUCAGAUACCGUCGUAGUCUUAACCAUAAACUAUGCCGACUAGGGAUCGGAUGAUGUUGAUUUUUUAAUGACUCAUUCGGCACCUUACG